This 295-nucleotide unclassified non-coding RNA is filed under the name rhizosphere metagenome. Its description in RNAcentral is "partial ribosomal RNA internal transcribed spacer region". The record is from RNAcentral.
GUAGGUGAACCUGCGGAAGGAUCAUUAUCGAAUCUUGACUUGGUGAAGCUGUUUUGCUGGCCCCUCCUGGGGGGCAUGUGCACGCUUCCCAAUCAGUUUUCUCUACCCACCUGUGCACCCUCUGUAGGUACCGGAUUUGGAGGCUGCUGGGUUUCUCCUGGCCGCCUCUUGUGUCUUUUCGGGCUUGCGUGCUUUAUACACACACACCUUUAUCAAUGAAUGUUCUUUGAAUGCCCUUGACGAAUAAUCAAGAAAAACCUUUGUACAACUUUCAACAACGGAUCUCUUGGCUCUC